UGGACCGGUAGCUCAAUCGGUAGAGCUUCGCCCUGUUGCGCCAGGGCACGAGGCAUCGUGGUGUAGGUUCGAAUCCUACCCGGUCCACUAG
Molecule: transfer RNA, 91 nt
Filed under: Microbacterium phage Ixel
Lineage: Duplodnaviria; Heunggongvirae; Uroviricota; Caudoviricetes
Description: tRNA-Asn
Rfam family: tRNA
About the family: Transfer RNA (tRNA) molecules are approximately 80 nucleotides in length.
Source: RNAcentral